GACGAACGCUGGCGGCGUGCUUAACACAUGCAAGUCGAACGGUGAAGCGCCUUCCUUUUUGGUGGGUGUGGAUGAGUGGCGAACGGGUGAGUAACACGUGAGUAACCUGCCCCCUUCUUCUGGAUAACCGCAUGAAAGUGUGGCUAAUACGGGAUAUUCUGGGUCUGUCGCAUGAUGGGUCUGGGAAAGAUAUUGUUUCGGUGGGGGAUGGGCUCGCGGCCUAUCAGCUUGUUGGUGGGGUGAUGGCCUACCAAGGCGGUGACGGGUAGCCGGCCUGAGAGGGUGGACGGUCACACUGGGACUGAGACACGGCCCAGACUCCUACGGGAGGCAGCAGUGGGGAAUAUUGCAUAAUGGGCGCAAGCCUGAUGCAGCGACGCCGCGUGAGGGAUGGAGGCCUUCGGGUUGUGAACCUCUUUCGCCAGUGAAGCAGGCCUGCCUCGUUUGUGGGUGGGUUGACGGUAGCUGGAUAAGAAGCGCCGGCUAACUACGUG
RNAcentral lists this ribosomal RNA (494 nucleotides) under uncultured bacterium. Its description in RNAcentral is "partial 16S ribosomal RNA". It matches the Rfam family "Bacterial small subunit ribosomal RNA", at positions 28 to 507 of the family's 1533-position model. The record is from RNAcentral.